This 4748-nucleotide long non-coding RNA is filed under the name Homo sapiens (human). RNAcentral describes it as "HSALNT0012562". The record is from RNAcentral. Lineage: Eukaryota; Metazoa; Chordata; Mammalia; Primates; Hominidae.
CUUUUGUUCAUUUGUUUGUUUGUUUUGCCUGGGUGACUAUCUGCAUGAUGGUAUCUGCUAGAGAUAGGGAAGUCAGAAGAAAGGGCCAAAUCACUGGAGAAAGAAAAUGCUUUACUUGGACAGUCUGGAUGGGAAGUUCCAGUGAGUCAUCCUGGUGGCAAUGACUGGCAGAUUGUUGGAAAUGGAGGAGCUAAAGCGAGAGAGGCUAAGAAUAGAGAUAUGGAUUUGGGAGUUAGUGGCAAAUAGAGUUAAACUAUGGGAAUGUAUAUGAUGGCCUGAGAAGAAAUUAUAGGAGAAGUAAGAAGGACUAAGGGCUGAGCCUGGGAGACAGGACAUGGAGGGGAAAGGCAGCUGAGAGGAGCCUUGAAGAAGACUGAAGAGGAAUAAUUGCUACUGAGGAGAAGCAAGGCAGUUCAGUGUGAUGGAUGCCAAAAGAUGGAGAAGUCAAGGAGGUGUUCCUUGUUCUGAAGAGGAGAAACAGUAAAAAAUUUGCCAAGGACCCAAGAUAGAAGACUGUGGGCCCAGAUCCUAAUGUAAAAGAAGCCUGCCUCAACUUAAUUUUCCUGGACAGCAAGAGCUAUGAAAAUGAACUGGGUGAAUAUUGGUGUUUUCAGCUUGAGGUUCCAAUGAAUUAGGACAAUCAGAAGGAAGAGUUUAAUUUUGGGGUCUAGCAUGAGACCAUUCAGUUCAAACUUUCAUUUCACAGUUAGGAAACUAGACCCAGAGAGGCACAGUGCUUCGGCUUGAUGCUAAUAGACUGAUUUUGGAAGGCAGUUGAGCUGGAAGACACAGAUCUGGGGGCUGUCAGCCAAGGGCUGAGAAGGAUGUGAAUUAAGAAGGUGGGAAGGGAAUUGAUGGUUAAGGCCUGAGUCUUGAGAGAAACCCAUGGCCAGGAGCAGAGGAGUUAAGAUUCAUUCAGAAAUGCUCCUACAGACGUGGGAGAACAAGGAUUGUUCAGUAUAAUGGAAGCCAAAGGAGAGGGUUUUGAGGAGCAAAAGACUAGCCAACAGUAGCAAUUGUGUCAAGGUGAUCAAGGAAUAAGAUGUAAACAAUUGUUGGAUUUAUAAUAUGAUUUUAAAAGUGCAGUUUCAGUAAAGUGGUAAGAAUGGGAGGACAAUCAAAUGGCACGUGGUGUGUGUGUGUGUGUGUGGAGGUUGUGGUGUGUGUGGGGGGGGAUGUAUGUGUGGAGAGUGUGGCAUGAGAUGCAUGUGCAUAUGUAUGUUUAGGAUGAGGUGUGUGUGGAGAGUGAGAUGUGUGUGUGUAGGAUAUGAGGUGUGUGAGCUGUGUGUGUGUGUGUGUGAUGUGUGUGUAGGGUGCAGUGUUGUGGUAUAUGUGUAUGUGUACAUGGUGUGGGGGGUGCAGGGUGUGUGUGUAUGUAGGAUGCGGUGUGUGUGGAGAGUGAGAUGUGUGUGUAGAGUGCAAUGUGUAUGGGGUGUUUGUAGGGUGCGCUGUACAUGUGGGCAGUGUGUGUGUAUUCUGACUGAAUGCUGAGCACUGGUGCUUGAGCUCUCCUGCCCUGCCUGGGAGGUGGUGUGUCUGAGGUGAGGGGAAGGCUGACCCAGCUGAUGGGUCCUGUGAGGCAGAGGUUGAGGAGGGAGCCAGAGAUGAGAACCAACAACAUGCUCCAGGAAGAGGGACAGGCGCAGAAGCAAGGGGACACCAGACUGGAACAGAUGGACUCAUGCAGUUGUUCCUUGAUGGCCUGUUCACAUAUAGCAUUUGCCAUGUCCCACAAAUGCAGAAUUCUGGUGGAACCACAGUGCGUGGAAGUUCCAGGAGACUGAAAGUGGUGCAAGGUUAAGUGUGUUACAUAUGUAAUUGAGUAAUCAGGGGUGCUGACAGCCCGACAGGCCAUGCCUUCCAUUCGAACCAGAGCUUGCUUCACAUAGAAAGAAAGCAAUGGCUUUCUAAGGAAUGUGGACAAGUGAGGAACCCUAUCAUAUCCUUCUUACUCAUUUCUUCCCUGUGUUAACCAACCACUUACGCUGAAAAUGAUGACACAGAAGAAAGGGAAAGACAGGACAACCCAUAGUUCCUUUUCCUUUCAGCCCUUCCUUACUCAUCAGUAAGCUGAAGGUCAAGAGUAUUGAUGGAACAUGCACGUUAUCAAGAAGUAAAAUUAAAACAGUUGAGUUAGUUUUGUGCAGUGUUCCCGCUGCUCUGGUAAGGACAAAAUAUAUACGCAAGUAAGAGCUAGGAAAUAUGAACUGUGUAAUUUCAAUGAUUCCACGUAUGAGUCAAAUGCACUUAUUUUCAUUUACAACUAACACUACACAACAUAAAGAAUAGUAAAAUUCAUACUAAUAAUUAAAUUUUAAAUUUUUCUUUACUUAAAAUGACAUUAAAUAUCAAAUUAAAAACAUCAUGACUAGUAAAAAAAAAUUGUGGAAGAAAGAAAAAGUUUUAUGCUUUGGUGACCCUUAAUGGCCUUAUUUCCCUCUGGUUUUUGAACAAGGAGCUCGAUAUUUUCAUUUUGUACUGGGCCCUGAAAAUUAUGUUACUGGCCCUGGGUGAGAUGGUUGUUUAUAUUUGUAUGACCAGGGUCAAAAAACAGUCUUGGAACCACAGGAGCAGGGAAGAUUCACCAAUAAAUUGAUGAACACAAGUCUUCAUCAUUACCCACACACACUCACUGGCCCCUCAACAUUGGUAACAAUGGCCAUGGGUGGAGAGUUAAGAAGAUGAUAACUCCCAGAAAACUAUGCUUUUUCUGCUGAUAACUCUUCAACAUCUCACCACACCCAAUAUCUCUGCUUUUGUUAACAAACCAUGAACUGCUUCAAGUUGUCAUACCCUUUCUCACUGUCUUUCUUCUGAUUGGAACGGCCUGGUGAGAGCAGGCUGGUGGGAACACACACCUUCCGAAAGGCCCUCACCACAGCAGAUCACUGCUGGCGUCCGAGCUACUUCCUGCUUGUCCUGUUGUGUCCUUCAUCAGUGACCGCACUCUUGGAGUGCUUGCCUCUGGCUCCUGUUUUCCACCCAUUUCUCAGCCUGGUAACUCCUGGUUUCCAGUCUUAGUGGGCCCACUGCUCUGCUCCCACCUCCUGUGAUAGGGUCGGGAGAGCCGCCAACCCCACUUGACUCCUGGACCCCAUCCAGGCUGUGGUAUGUGCCAGCACCAUCUUCCCAAAGGAUGCUGCCCCUCCCUGAGGCUCAUGGUAUAGCUCUUCUCCCAUAUUCAUACCCCCGUCUUGAAGCCUGGCCCACAUAGGGUUUCCAGAAAGCCUUCCCCGAACCACUAAUAGAAACCCUACUAUACUCACACCUUCCUUAAGAGAUACUUCACAAACCCAGUUUUGUGCGGUGCAAAGGGGAUGAAAUCAGAAAUAACAUAGGUUUAAAUCCUGGUUAACUAACUGAUUUUUGAGUCUGUCAAUAAACCUCUCUGUGCCUCAAUUUCCCCAUCUACAAAAACAGGAUUGUGAUACUUACCUCAUAGGAUCAUUGUGAGGAUUAUGAGAAAUAGCACAGGCAAAGCACCUAGGUGCUGCCUGGCAUGUCCCAGCACUCAGUAAAAGCUCCCCCAACACUUUUCUCCCCCUGCUGGGGUUGGGCACCAUGCCUUAUUCAUGCCUUUAUUCCUUGCAGCACCUAGAGUAACAUCUUGUGGCUGGCAGAUGAUCAAUGCCUGUGGAUUGAAUUAAAUUAAAACUUUCCUUGUGUUACACUGUUCUCUCCAUGUCCCCAGUUGUAAUAUCCUCUUAAAAGUAUCAUCGCUUGGCUGGGCACGGUGGCUCAUGCCUGUAAUCCCAGCACUUUGGGAGGCUGAGGCGGGUGGAUUACAAGGUCAGGAGAUCGAGACCAUCCUGGCUAACACGGUGAAACCCCGUCUGUACUAAAAAUACAAAAAAAAAAAAAAAAAUUAGCUGGGCGUGGUGGUGGGCGCCUGUAGUCCCAGCUACUCGGGAGGCUGAGGCAGAAGAAUGGCAUGAACCCGGGAGGGGGAGCUUGCAGUGAGCCGAGAUCGCGCCACUGCACUCCAGCAUGGGCAACAGAGUGAGACUCCGUGUCAAAAACAAACAAAAAAAAGUAUCAUUGCUCAGCUUAUAAGUUCUACUUCAUGUUACUGCAGAUUGUGACCCCCAAAUGAAGUAACUUUUGCUGUUCCUUCUUAUUAAAAAUAAUACAUGCUCAAUAUAUAAAUAAAAAUACAAGCAAAAAGAGUAUUAAAAAGUCUGAUAAUUCUACCCACACAGACAUAGCUAGUAUUAACAUCUCUCCAUUAGCUUUUCAAUGCAAUGCAGCUAUUAUAUCUAUGUGUGUGCAUGUAUACAUGUAUGUAUAAUAUUUUGCUGAGGGAGGAAGGUGGAAAUAGCAUAUUAAGAGAGGGAUGUGGGCUUUAGAAUAGAAAAAAUUCAGCAAGCCUGUGCUCUGUGAGUGUGAAAAUAACCACUGGUGUCUACUUAGAUUCAGUAGGGUGGGAGUCUUGCUGGAAAUGCUUUUUAAAUUUCUAGUGCCAUAAUCUUUCUUUCAUCCAAAGAGGAAAAAAUGAGUCUUUACGUAUUUUUUAAUGUAGCGAUAAUUAUCAUUCAUCAGCAUACUGCACACUCUUUAUUUGGGUGUUUAUUAAGGAUCUAUUUCAUGCCAGACGCUGGAGUUGGCACUAAAAACAAGGAUACGGUUACUGCUCUCAGUGAGUUUUCAGUCUGGUGGGGGACACACAUGAGAAAUAGCACAGGCAAAGCCCCUGGGUGCUGCCUGGCAUGUCCCAGCACUCAAUAAAAGCUCCCCCCAACACUUUUCUC